RNAcentral lists this ribosomal RNA (498 nucleotides) under Triticum aestivum (bread wheat). Its description in RNAcentral is "partial small subunit ribosomal RNA". Lineage: Eukaryota; Viridiplantae; Streptophyta; Magnoliopsida; Poales; Poaceae. The record is from RNAcentral.
AUGGGUUCGUCAAGCUCCACCUGCAAACGCCACCCGGCCCAUCCGGAACACAAGCUGACGCUGGAGACCCCCGAGAGGAGGAAGUUCACGUGUGAUGGCUGCCAUAAGAAGGGCGGGGGCGAGAGGUACAGGUGCCAGAGUUGCAACUUCAACCUGCACAAGCAGUGCGCCUUGCGCGAAGGGACCAAGAUUGUGCACCCGUCGCUCAAGAACAUCACGAUAAAGCUCCGGUUCCAAGUCCCCAGAUCCGAGGGCGCCAGGCUUGUAUGUGACGCCUGCCGUGGCACCGUGCGGGGGUUCCACUACCACAGCAGCAAGCUCUGCCUCCACCCAUGCUGCGUGUAUCCACCGGAGGAGAAUGAUGGUGGCGCCGAGGGCCAACUCAGGCAGAUAUGCCAGACCAUUGCGCCUGCCGUAUUGUCUCUCAUCCUCACUGCGGCUACUGGAGAUCCGUCGCCGAUAAUUGGUUUGUUCCCUUGCUUUGGAGGCUCUGGGUAG